Molecule: unclassified non-coding RNA, 240 nt
Filed under: soil metagenome
Description: partial contains 5.8S ribosomal RNA, internal transcribed spacer 2, and large subunit ribosomal RNA
Source: RNAcentral
AACUGAUACUACCUGCGGGACCUGCGGAAGGAUCAUUAUUGAAUUAUGUUUCUAAAUGGGUUGUAGCUGGCUCGUCAGAGCAUGUGCACGCCUGUUUGGACUUCAUUUUCAUCCACCUGUGCACCUAUUGUAGUCUUUGGUUGGGUAUCGAGGAAGUGGUCAGCCUAUCAGCACUUGCUGGAUGUGAGGACUUGCAGUGUGAAAGCUUUGCUGUCCUUUACUUGAUCAUGGAGCUGUUUU